CACGUAGUUAGCCGUGACUUUCUGGUUGAAUACCGUCACUGCGUGAACAGUUACUCUCACGCACGUUCUUCUUCAACAACAGAGCUUUACGAGCCGAAGCCCUUCUUCACUCACGCGGUGUUGCUCCAUCAGGCUUGCGCCCAUUGUGGAAGAUUCCCUACUGCUGCCUCCCGUAGGAGUAUGGACCGUGUCUCAGUUCCAUUGUGGCCGAUCAGUCUCUCAACUCGGCUACGCAUCAUAGCCUUGGUAGGCCGUUACCCCACCAACAAGCUAAUGCGCCGCAGGCCCAUCCAGAAGUGAUAGCCGAAACCAUCUUUCAGCCUCAAACCAUGCGGUUUGAGGAUUUAUGCGGUAUUAGCACUUGUUUCCAAAUGUUGUCCCCCGCUUCUGGGCAGGUUGCCUACGUGUUACUCACCCGUCCGCCACUCGUUGGUAAUCCAACGUCAAUCAGGUGCAAGCACCGUCAAUCAGUUGGGCCAACGCGUUCGACUUG
This 493-nucleotide ribosomal RNA is filed under the name uncultured Lactobacillus sp. RNAcentral describes it as "partial 16S ribosomal RNA". The record is from RNAcentral. Lineage: Bacteria; Bacillati; Bacillota; Bacilli; Lactobacillales; Lactobacillaceae.